AGGACGAACGCUGGCGGCGUGCUUAACACAUGCAAGUCGAACGCUGUCCAUUCGGUGGCAACACUGAUGAAGACGGAGUGGCGAACGGGUGAGUAGCACGUGAGCAACCUGCCCCGAAGACCGGGACAACACCGGGAAACCGGUGCUAAUACCGGAUAUCCCCACCGGAUCGCAUGGUCUGGUGAGGAAAUGGAUUCCGCUUCGGGAGGGGCUCGCGGCCUAUCAGCUUGUUGGUGAGGUAACGGCUCACCAAGGCUUCGACGGGUAGCUGGUCUGAGAGGACGAUCAGCCACACUGGGACUGAGACACGGCCCAGGCUCCUACGGGAGGCAGCAGUGGGGAAUCUUGCGCAAUGGGCGAAAGCCUGACGCAGCAACGCCGCGUGAGGGACGAAGGCUUUCUGAGUUGUAAACCUCUUUCAGCAGGGACGAUUGUGACGGUACCUGCAGAAGAAGCACCGGCCAACUACGUGCCAGCAGCCGCGGUGAUACGUAGGGUGCAAGCGUUGUCCGGAUUUAUUGGGCGUAAAGAGCUCGUAGGCGGUUUGAUAAGUCGGAUGUGAAAUCCCCAGGCUUAACCUGGGGUCGCCAUUUGAUACUGUCAUGACUUGAGUCCGGUAGGGGACCACGGAAUUCCUGGUGUAGCGGUGAAAUGCGCAGAUAUCAGGAGGAACACCAGCGGCGAAGGCGGUGGUCUGGCCGGCACUGACGCUGAGGAGCGAAAGCGUGGGGAGCGAACAGGAUUAGAUACCCUGGUAGUCCACGCCGUAAACGUUGGGCACUAGGUGUGGGGCCUAUUCAACGGGUUCCGUGCCGCAGCUAACGCAUUAAGUGCCCCGCCUGGGGAGUACGGCCGCAAGGCUA
This 863-nucleotide ribosomal RNA is filed under the name uncultured bacterium. RNAcentral's name for it is "bacterial SSU rRNA". It matches the Rfam family "Bacterial small subunit ribosomal RNA", at positions 26 to 896 of the family's 1533-position model. The record is from RNAcentral.